ACCUUUUUAGUAUACUUCUAAAGUACAAUUGACUUCCAAUCAAUAAGUUUGUCACACAAAAAAGGUA
This 67-nucleotide transfer RNA is filed under the name Damon diadema. RNAcentral's name for it is "tRNA-Gly". Lineage: Eukaryota; Metazoa; Arthropoda; Arachnida; Amblypygi; Phrynichidae. The record is from RNAcentral.